This 129-nucleotide small RNA is filed under the name Xenorhabdus mauleonii. Its description in RNAcentral is "SraG RNA". It matches the Rfam family "SraG RNA". From Rfam's summary of the family: This RNA was discovered in E. coli during a large scale screen. Evidence was found for specific cleavage of this RNA. The record is from RNAcentral. Lineage: Bacteria; Pseudomonadati; Pseudomonadota; Gammaproteobacteria; Enterobacterales; Morganellaceae.
CUUCUUGCUACACCCUCACGACUAAUGACAGUGCUCAAGCCAUUAAGGACUCUCAUUAGCCGCGCGAGUCACUGUAGCGGAAGAGGUUCAAUUUUCUAGAAGAAAAGGGGCCCAAUUUGGCCCCUUUCC